UUGUCUCAAAGAUUAAGCCAUGCAUGUCUAAGUAUAAGCAAUUAUACCGCGAAACUGCGAAUGGCUCAUUAAAUCAGUCAUCGUUUAUUUGAUAGUACCUUACUACAUGGAUACCUGUGGUAAUUCUAGAGCUAAUACAUGCUAAAAGCCCCGACUUCAGGAAGGGGUGUAUUUAUUAGAUAAAAAACCAACGCCCUUCGGGGCUCCUUGGUGAAUCAUAAUAGCUUAACGAAUCGCAUGGCCUUGCGCCGGCGAUGGUUCAUUCAAAUUUCUGCCCUAUCAACUUUCGAUGGUAGGAUAGUGGCCUACCAUGGUGGCAACGGGUAACGGAGGGUUAGGGCUCGACCCCGGAGAAGGAGCCUGAGAAACGGCUACUACAUCCAAGGAAGGCAGCAGGCGCGCAAAUUAUCCAAUCCCGACACGGGGAGGUAGUGACAAUAAAUACUGAUACGGGGCUCUUUUGGGUCUCGUAAUUGGAAUGAGAACAAUUUAAAUCCCUUAACGAGGAACAAUUGGAGGG
RNAcentral lists this ribosomal RNA (520 nucleotides) under uncultured fungus. RNAcentral's name for it is "SSU rRNA". It matches the Rfam family "Eukaryotic small subunit ribosomal RNA", at positions 32 to 555 of the family's 1831-position model. Lineage: Eukaryota; Fungi. The record is from RNAcentral.